UGCUCCACGCGCCUCUCACAUCUGCUACGCGGAGCACCCUUGGUGCUGGGGAAUGCAUACCUUGUUUUCACGCUCUUCCCUUCCGCGCUGUUCCACCUCGCCACCUCUCUCCUCUGCGUGGACCUUAACGGUGGGGGCCUCUGCCACCCACGCACGCACUCUCUUACAAGGAUGUGUGUGGGCGUGCGCUCGCACUCUCCCCACCCCCUUCCCAUCCUCUGACCUCUCCACCCCACAGAGGAUUAUACACACACACACGCACACACAAGUGAGCAUAGCCACAUUUGUGCUCGCUGCUCAUUAGUUUGGGGAUCUCCACUCUCUCACCACGUGUGUGUGUUUUGCUUGGAGGAGCAUACACCCUCCACCACCACCACCCCCUCCCUGCCCCUGCCACACCCACGCCCACGCGUGGUUCUCUACAUCUCUCACGCGCUGCUUCCUUUAGAUUCUGAACCGCUACCGCCGCUACCCUAUAUCCGGCAGAUGCCGCUGUUGUGCUGAGGCCCUUCGUUGCCGUCUCACUCGUCGUCUCUUCUCGCACACUUUAUCUUCUUUGGCGGUAUCUGCGUGUGCGUGUGCGUGUGCGUGUGUGCGUGUGCGUGUGCGUGUGCGUGUGCGUGUGCGUGUGUGCGUGUGCGUGUGUGCGUGUGUGCGUGUGCGUGUGCGUGUGCGUGUGCGUGUGCGUGUGCGUGUGCGUGUGCGUGUGCGUGUGCGUGUGUGCGUGUGCGUGUGUGCGUGUGUGCGUGUGUGCGUGUGUGCGUGUGCGUGCGUGUGCGUGUGUGCGUGUGUGCGUGUGUGCGUGUGUGCGUGGGCGUGUGUGCGUGUGUGCGUGUGUGCGUGUGUGCGUGUGUGCGUGUGGUGCGUGGGCGUGUGUGCGUGGGCGUGUGUGCGUGGGCGUGUGUGCGUGUGUGCGUGGGCGUGUGUGCGUGUGUGCGUGGGCGUGUGUGCGUGUGUGCGUGGGCGUGUGUGCGUGUGUGCGUGGGCGUGUGUGCGUGUGUGCGUGGGCGUGUGUGCGUGUGUGCGUGGGCGUGUGUGCGUGUGCGUGGGCGUGUGUGCGUGUGCGUGGGCGUGUGUGCGUGUGUGCGUGGGCGUGUCUGCUUUGCGAGAGCUGAGGCAGGCAUCGUUGGGACCGCGCCCUGCACGCGAGCCCCUCUCACCGCCCGUAUCUCGUCACCCGUUCACCAACCCGCCCCUCCAUACAUACGCGGACGCAGUCACUGAACUAUAAAAGUGUGAGUGGGUCUUUUUAUCAACGCGCCUGCUCGCCGUCGUCACCGUCGCAUCCUGUUGCGCUCUCGGACUAUCCUCUUGGCCUAUAUUCGCUUCACUUGAUACACGCACACGCAUUCGCAUCGCCGUCCUCCACUUGGAGCGCCGCUCCUUACCACCACCCCUCACGCACGCUCACACGCACACGAUGGGGAGCAACGUCUCCGUGUUGCUGCAUGCCGAUACGCCGGUGCCGAACAGCGUCAUAACGACCCAGCACAAGGUGCGUGCCAGCUCAAACUUCGGCGGCAGCAGCGGCGAUGUGGUGGUGCGGUGCCCGAAGAUACGCGUCAUGGCGGCCGAGAAAGUGAAGCAACUUUUACGCGGCAGCCGCGCAGCCAAAGUGGCCUGGGCGGCGAAGCGGGCAUCACCACUCUCCGCGGAGGAGUCGCCCGUCUUGGUCGUGGCGGACUGUGCGGCCCCCGGCGCCCUCACCACGUCGAGAACGUACGUGCCGGUGCUGAACGCCAUCCUCGACUACGCGGAGGCGCACAGAAAGGCUCGCGCGGCACCGGCCGACGCGCCGAGCGGCAGCAAGGUUGUGUGCCCCAUCGGCAUCGAAUUCGACCCGACGCUGUGCCUUGGGGACCGACUGAACCGAAGCGAGGCACGCGCUGCGUGCACUGAGUACUGCAAGCUCUUCUUCACGCAUCUUAUCGACGCGCUAGAGAACGUAGGAAAGGAAGUGCCGGUGAUAGUGGGCGGGGUGGUGGCGCCACCGCGGCUCUCUAUCCUAUACCUGGACGUGCGCUCGUGUCGACUCGACGACACGACAGGGCCGUGGCUCGCGUCCUCGCUUAUUAUGCGCGCCGUCCGUCGCGCGCGCCCCUACGCGCUUGUGUCCGCCCGCGCAAACGCGGCGGGCAGCAGCGAAGACGGCUUCAUGUCGUACUUCUCGCCAGACGUCAAGGCGGAUAUGGUGUGGGCAUCACUGCAGCACGUUCUGCUGGCGCACAACAACAUGUCCAUCCAGGGCGUCGAGGCAGUGCUGGAGAACCUGCUGGCAGAUGACGCCAUGCACGACGUGCUGUUGCAGCAGCAGGGUGUCGAUGCAAAGGCACUGAAGUCGAAGGAGGUGAUCAGAGCCCUUACUCACGACCGCCUGUUCCCUCGCCAGGACUCGCAGCUGCUGCCACACCUGUAUCUGGUCGACGUACGCUACAAUCAGUACAGCGAUGCUGAGUUGCAGAGGUUGCAGGGCAAGACGCCAGCCUCCGUCAGAGACGAGUCCGCGCGCAGGCCGAUCACCGGCACGGCACCGCCCUCACAGGUGCCGGUGCCCACGCCGGGGCUGGCGCCACUGCGGCAGCCACGAGAGGUGCGAAGCGGAGUCGCUGAUGUCUCGCCGACCGAAUACGGCCACCAGCCAGACGCCGACAGCCACCGCUACUCUGCCUACUUCUACGCGCGGCCGACCGUGUCGCAGGCGCAGCACAGCAGCCACAGCGGCGCGCAAGCGUAUAUGAAGCUCUCCAACGACGCCUCCAUUCGCGAGGUCUGGGAUGGCCACAAUGGCGCGGCCCCAGACGCCAUCUUCGCAUCAAACCCUUCCAGCUCCGCCACAUCGUCACCGGUACUCUCCGCAGCGAUGUCACAGCUGAGCAUGGCCACCACUUCCACGGAAUCGGAUCACUUGUGGGCGAAGAAGGCGUCUGCAGCGACGCCUCCGCCGCCCAGCACGGAUGCAAGAGAGCGCCGAGAGGCUGCCGCGCCGGCGCGCGCACCACUGCGAACGCCGUCACCACCCCUCACGCCACGCGGUGAGUUGCGCAAGGCGCAGCCGGUGCACCAGCCGUCGGGCAUCCAGGUCCGCUCCCGUCAAGCCUCACCCGCUAGCAGCCAACAGGCUUACCUCACCAAUAUGGACGCCGCCGCGACCUCCCCGACCUCGGCGACGCAGCAGCAGACCGCGAUGCCCACGUCGCCACGUGUGUUGAGCGCUCGCCACCCUACACACUCUCCGUAUCGCGUUGACGUUGUGGAGCCACAGCAGGUCUACGAGGUGCUGACGAUCCAGCCGCCCGCCAGCGCUAGAGAGGCACCGGCAGCAGCGACACCCUCACAUCCGACAGCGCCGCGCCAGAGCGUGCCGACCGCCCCAUCGCAGGGGUCGUCCACUGUCGCGCGUGCAUGCUGUCUGUCAGAGCUGAAGCGUGAGGAGAGCAAGUUGGACGACGCGGAAAUGGAGGUGCAAAAACUGCUGCUGCACCAGCACCGUCACCUCCACCCCCACUCGCAGCACCACUCGUGGCAGCGCAGCAACAGCGGCGGCCACAACCCCGGCAGCAGUGGCGCAGACGACGAGCCGUGGCUAGACGAGGUCUACACGCAGAGUCACGGCCGCAGCACCUCGCCGGAGCUCGGCGCCGGUAGUCGGCGGAGGUUCUACGACAUCCCGGCUCUCGCCCCGCCGGAGCAGCCCUUUGCCGCCUCCGCCGCGCGGGUUACUCCCACCAUGUGGGAAACAGGUUUGCGCAAGCGACACGAAAGCCCAGCCCAGGUGGUCUCGCGGCGGGCGUCCCCGACAUCGUCGCGUCGGCGGCGCCGGACCAUCUAUGACGGCGUCCAGCCACGCGUCAACUCACAGCGUCAUGUAGGUAACGAGCGGCUGGCAAGGGCGGAGUACGAGGCCGCGACGGCCGCCGAGGCACGGGCGAGAGAAUGGUUGCGCGAGCAUGCGGAGCAGCGUGGAACGGCGGGGCUGAGCAGCGGGCGCGGCGACCCCGUCUCCGCGCGGCAGCACCCGGCAUGCCAUCCGAGCCCGUCUCAGCGUCUGGAGAGCGGGAUGAAGUGGGGGCGUCAUUCACCCCUCUCGAAGCUGUUGUCCCCUUCCCCGGCGCCGCAGCGGCCAGCAGAAGCCUCAUCGUUGACGCCAGCAAAGGCCAACGGCGCAUGGGCAAGCACGCGCAGGAGGCGCGUCCAUCAAAACCAUCAUGCAGGCGCGGCGGCACUGUCUGGCACUGCGCAAGACUCGUCAGCAUGGUGGUCUCACCACCCAUCCACGACGGCGUCGGCGAUCACCCCCGCCAAACGCCGCCUGUCAACAGCGGAGUCGCCGCACAUCGUGCCGCGUGAGACCGUGGCCAGUCGGCUGCGCAAGGUGACGAGUCACCGUCAACGCCACUUUUCCGAAAUGGAAGAGCGAGAGAACACCUACUGCGCCAGAAACUGGCAGCCGCGAACGACUUUUCGGACGGCUAGUGUCACAGGUGCGAUGUGCGCGUCGCGGGCCCAUCCUUUCGAGAUGGCGGCGGUGCUGCAAGAGCAGAAGCAGUGCACGCCGGCCGACCCCCACCGCGGUAGUGACAGCAGCGCGUACAGCGCAGCGAUGAUGAUGGAAACUUCGCUGCUGCGGCGCGGCGACACGGCACCUCAACAGGAGUGGAGCUCGCCUGUGCAUGGCACCAGUCGCGAUAGGAGCGUGAUCCCGAUGUCAGUGCCAUCGCAUCAAUCGUGGUACUCCGCCGCAGCUACGUCGACACCCAAGUACAACAAGAACGGCGCUGAGCUGGUGCACGUGAAGCUGCGCACGCGCGCACGGGCAGCAUACUGACCUAGUGGCGGCGAUGAGGCGGGGGAGGGCGCAGGGGAGCCGUCGGCGGCCGUCUUGCGCCAGCCAUGUGUGCCACUGUUUGUGCGCUAGGGUACAGUGCGUGAAGGACUGGCGGCACACCCCGCGUGCGAGUAUGUCGCCGCUCUCUCGCUCGGAGACGCUCGCCCGCUCACUCCGCCCCCUCCCCUUCUGUGUGCGGCACGUGAAGUACUUGCAGGCAUACCGUAGAGAAGCAAUCCUUCUAGCACAGGGGCAUCGACGUGCGCGCGUGCGUUGCCACCGCCGCCGCCGCCGCAGCAGCAGCAGCAAGUCGCCGUAUUCGUGUGUUUUAGAGGGUGUUCUCCUCUUUAGAUGCUCCCUUCAUAGUCCUCAUUACCGUUCACAUACAGAGACG
Molecule: unclassified non-coding RNA, 5219 nt
Filed under: Leishmania donovani
Lineage: Eukaryota; Euglenozoa; Kinetoplastea; Trypanosomatida; Trypanosomatidae
Description: gene:LdHU3.04.1010(CDS-product:heat_shock_protein _putative)
Source: RNAcentral